Molecule: long non-coding RNA, 872 nt
Organism: Felis catus (domestic cat)
Lineage: Eukaryota; Metazoa; Chordata; Mammalia; Carnivora; Felidae
Exons: 4
Source: RefSeq, a predicted model, not a curated record
CCUUGUCAAGAAGUCCAAAUUUCUCAUGACUCCAGAGGCAUAAAGAUUCUCACAAAGCAGCCCUGAUUCUUAGAGUGUCUCUUUUAUUAGCAACAAUGGAAACAUUCUCCUUUAUGUUUGCCAGUACAGAUAAGGUUCUGUUGAACAAAGAGUCCUCUUGAACAAACCAGAUCUGCCUCUAGGUUUUGCCAGGGCUGUCUCCUCAGCACAACUCUCCAGACCAAAGAGGAAAGAACAUAUAUGGAGUGGUUCCUAUAUGCCAGACUUCUCCAUCUGGUCUGCAUUUGAAGAUUCCUUGUAGACAACUGUGUUCUUGUCACCCCUGAGAACAUGGUCACGGCCAGGGGUCUGAAUAGAUGGGGACUCAUCAUUUACCUGCCAGAUCUGAAAUGACCAGGUCAGCCAUAUCUGUCCUGCAGAGAAUGCUGUUGCCUCAGGAAAAUUCAACAAUUGGCCCCCAACUCAGACAUCGUGAGGCUGAACGGUUAUCCAAACUGGAAAGGAGAGAGAGAGAGAGAGAGACAGACAGACAGACAGACAGACAGGCAGGCAGAGAGGUAUUUGAAGGUGUGUGACCUCUGACAGUUGUUCUCAAGCCCAGCACCUGCUUUGUCAACCCUGCUGCUUUGAUAGAGUUAAGGGAUCCUUCUUGUACCAAGAUGUGGGGGAACUCUCCAUUGCCAAUUGCUUCACUGAGAUGUACUUUUACAACACCCCAGAGCAACAAUCAUCUUAUUUUCCCAUUAGUAAUCAAGAUACGCUUUCUCACGGUUGCUAUUCUUCCUGUGAUCUUGAACCUGCAUGCCCUGUCUUUGGUUGAUGCCAUUCCUGAGCUCUAAACCCACUGAGAAUAAAACAGAACCUUCUCAGUA